Molecule: ribosomal RNA, 293 nt
Filed under: uncultured bacterium
Lineage: Bacteria
Description: partial 16S ribosomal RNA
Rfam family: Archaeal small subunit ribosomal RNA
Source: RNAcentral
GUGCCAGCCGCCGCGGUAAUACCGGCAGCACGAGUGAUGGCCGAUUUUAUUGGGCCUAAAGCGUCCGUAGCCGGCCGGACAAGUCCGUUGGGAAAUCCACGCGCUCAACGCGUGGGCGUCCAGCGGAAACUGUCCGGCUUGGGGCCGGAAGGCUCGAAGGGUACGUUCGGGGUAGGAGUGAAAUCCUAUAAUCCCGCACGGACCACCGAUGGCGAAAGCACUUCGAGAAAACGGAUCCGACAGUGAGGGACGAAAGCCAGGGUCUCCAACCGGAUUAGAAACCCCAGUAGUCC